This is a long non-coding RNA of Drosophila albomicans, 450 nucleotides long. RefSeq lists it as uncharacterized. The record is from RefSeq and is a predicted model, not a curated record. Lineage: Eukaryota; Metazoa; Arthropoda; Insecta; Diptera; Drosophilidae. The transcript is spliced from 2 exons.
AUAAAUAAAAUUAUAAAAGUGGUUGAGAUAUUAAAAAAUCAAUAAAUAAAAAUAAAUAUCAAAAAUAAUUAAAAAAAAAAAUGUUUCACAAUACAAUAAAAAUAAAAUAAAUAUUAAAAAUACAAAAUAACGAUUUGAGAAGAAAAUAAAGAUUUUAAAGUAAAAAUAGUAAAUUCAAUAGAAAAAUCUCAUGAAUCUGUUUUGCUAAAGCGCGCAUCCAAAAAUAGUUGCCAAAAUUGUUUUGCUUAUGAAUUAUUGAUUGUUUAUUAAAUAUUAUUAGUUUUUACAUCUUCUUUUUUUUUAUUAUUAUUGUAAAUGAGUAGUAGCCGUUGCUAAUAAAAAAAUGAAUAUUGUAUCGAAUUAAAAAUAACUGCCCUAUAAACCAAUUAUGAAAAUAAUUAUACCGCCAUAAUUCUAAUUAAAUUUUGAAAAAAUGGUUUUGUUUUUGGU